Molecule: long non-coding RNA, 448 nt
Organism: Diceros bicornis minor
Lineage: Eukaryota; Metazoa; Chordata; Mammalia; Perissodactyla; Rhinocerotidae
Exons: 2
Source: RefSeq, a predicted model, not a curated record
UGGCAGGGUUCCCCACCCAAGCCCUGUCUGCAUCCUGUCCUUCCUCCCAGAAAUUAAAAGUCAUCAGGAGGAUCCAGCUGCUCCAGAAGAAUGUAAAUGCGUAUGACCUGGGGCCCGAAGAGUUAUUUGGGGCCUGGUUCCAGGCCAUGGAGCCCAUCAGUGUCCAUGAGAGCCGCCACGCCCUUGGCGAUGAGCCGUCACACUCUGGAGACCACAAGUGCAGCUCCUCCUGACCAGCAGGGACAUUGGCGCCCCCAGGGUGCACCAGGCCAGCUCUUCCCACCCUGAGUGAACGAAGACAUCCUAAGACUUUCCCUGGUUUCCCCUAAAGCCCCAGAGGGAGGGAACCACCCCUCCAACUCCCUGAAAUCUGCACCCCAGCGACUGUUAACCAAUUGGGGAGGAGUGAUAUUAUUUCUUUACUAGUAAAUGGUAGAUUUGACUCUUA